RNAcentral lists this ribosomal RNA (253 nucleotides) under uncultured bacterium. RNAcentral describes it as "partial 16S ribosomal RNA". It matches the Rfam family "Bacterial small subunit ribosomal RNA", at positions 524 to 776 of the family's 1533-position model. The record is from RNAcentral.
UACGGAGGGAGCUAGCGUUGUUCGGAAUUACUGGGCGUAAAGCGCACGUAGGCGGCUAUUCAAGUCAGAGGUGAAAGCCCGGGGCUCAACCCCGGAACUGCCUUUGAAACUAGAUAGCUUGAAUCUUGGAGAGGCGAGUGGAAUUCCGAGUGUAGAGGUGAAAUUCGUAGAUAUUCGGAAGAACACCAGUGGCGAAGGCGACUCGCUGGACAAGUAUUGACGCUGAGGUGCGAAAGCGUGGGGAGCAAACAGG